Molecule: ribosomal RNA, 479 nt
Filed under: uncultured bacterium
Lineage: Bacteria
Description: partial 16S ribosomal RNA
Rfam family: Bacterial small subunit ribosomal RNA
Source: RNAcentral
ACUCAAAGGAAUAGACGGGGGCCCGCACAAGCGGCGGAGCGUGCGGUUUAAUUCGAAGCGACGCGAAGAACCUUACCAGGGUUUGACAUGCUCCUGCAUUACCGGGAAACCGGGAGGCCUUCGAGGGUGGAGCACAGGUGCUGCAUGGCUGUCGUCAGCUCGUGCCGUGAGGUGUUGGGUUAAGUCCCGCAACGAGCGCAACCCCCGUGGCUAGUUACGAUGUCUAGCCAGACAGCCCCGCAAGGGGAGGAAGGAGGGGAUGACGUCAAGUCAGCAUGGCCCUUACAUCCUGGGCGACACGCACGCUACAAUGGCCGGGACAGAGGGCAGCCAACCCGCGAGGGGGAGCGAAUCCCAGAAACCCGGUCCCAGUUCAGAUUGCGGGCUGCAACUCGCCCGCAUGAAGGUGGAGUCGCUAGUAACCGCAGGUCAGCAGUACUGCGGUGAAUAUGUUCCCGGGCCUUGCACACACCGCCCGU